CCUACGGGGGGCUGCAGUGAGGAAUAUUGGUCAAUGGACGAGAGUCUGAACCAGCCAAGUAGCGUGAAGGAUGACUGCCCUAUGGGUUGUAAACUUCUUUUAUAAAGGAAUAAAACGAGGCACGUGUGCCUUUUUGCAUGUGCUUUAUGAAUAAGGAUCGGCUAACUCCGUGCCAGCAGCCGCGGUAAUACGGAGGAUCCGAGCGUUAUCCGGAUUUAUUGGGUUUAAAGGGAGCGUAGAUGGGUUGUUAAGUUAGUUGUGAAAGUUUGCGGCUCAACCGUAAAAUUGCAAUUGAUACUGGCAGUCGUGAGUACAGUUGAGGUAGGCGGAAUGCGUGGUGUAGCGGUGAAAUGCUUAGAUAUCACGAAGAACCCCGAUUGCGAAGGCAGCUUACUAAACUGUGACUGACAUUGAUGCUCGAAAGUGUGGGUAUCAAACAGGAUUAGAUACCCCAGUAGUC
RNAcentral lists this ribosomal RNA (460 nucleotides) under uncultured bacterium. Its description in RNAcentral is "partial 16S ribosomal RNA". It matches the Rfam family "Bacterial small subunit ribosomal RNA", at positions 338 to 795 of the family's 1533-position model. The record is from RNAcentral.